AAUCCAUAGGUUAAUGAGGCGAACCGGGGGAACUGAAACAUCUAAGUACCCCGAGGAAAAGAAAUCAACCGAGAUUCCCCCAGUAGCGGCGAGCGAACGGGGAGGAGCCCAGAGCCUGAAUCAGCAUGUGUGUUAGUGGAAGCGUCUGGAAAGGCGCGCGAUACAGGGUGACAGCCCCGUACACAAAAGCGCAUGUGCUGUGAGCUCGAUGAGUAGGGCGGGACACGUGGUAUCCUGUCUGAAUAUGGGGGGACCAUCCUCCAAGGCUAAAUACUCCUGACUGACCGAUAGUGAACCAGUACCGUGAGGGAAAGGCGAAAAGAACCCCGGCGAGGGGAGUGAAAAAGAACCUGAAACCGUGUACGUACAAGCAGUGGGAGCACCCUUUGGGUGUGACUGCGUACCUUUUGUAUAAUGGGUCAGCGACUUAUAUUCUGUAGCAAGGUUAACCGAAUAGGGGAGCCGGAGGGAAACCGAGUCUUAACCGGGCGUUAAGUUGCAGGGUAUAGACCCGAAACCCGGUGAUCUAGCCAUGGGCAGGUUGAAGGUUGGGUAACACUAACUGGAGGACCGAACCGACUAAUGUUGAAAAAUUAGCGGAUGACCUGUGGCUGGGGGUGAAAGGCCAAUCAAACCGGGAGAUAGCUGGUUCUCCCCGAAAGCUAUUUAGGUAGCGCCUCGUGAAUUCAUCUCCGGGGGUAGAGCACUGUUUCGGCUAGGGGGCCAUCCCGGCUUACCAACCCGAUGCAAACUGCGAAUACCGGAGAAUGUUAUCACGGGAGACACACGGCGGGUGCUAACGUCCGUCGUGAAGAGGGAAACAACCCAGACCGCCAGCUAAGGUCCCAAAGUCAUGGUUAAGUGGGAAACGAUGUGGGAAGGCCCAGACAGCCAGGAUGUUGGCUUAGAAGCAGCCAUCAUUUAAAGAAAGCGUAAUAGCUCACUGGUCGAGUCGGCCUGCGCGGAAGAUGUAACGGGGCUAAACCAUGCACCGAAGCUGCGGCAGCGACACUGUGUGUUGUUGGGUAGGGGAGCGUUCUGUAAGCCUGCGAAGGUGGCCUGUGAGGGUUGCUGGAGGUAUCAGAAGUGCGAAUGCUGACAUAAGUAACGAUAAAGCGGGUGAAAAGCCCGCUCGCCGGAAGACCAAGGGUUCCUGUCCAACGUUAAUCGGGGCAGGGUGAGUCGACCCCUAAGGCGAGGCCGAAAGGCGUAGUCGAUGGGAAACGGGUUAAUAUUCCCGUACUUGGUGUUACUGCGAAGGGGGGACGGAGAAGGCUAUGUUGGCCGGGCGACGGUUGUCCCGGUUUAAGCGUGUAGGCUGGUUUUCCAGGCAAAUCCGGAAAAUCAAGGCUGAGGCGUGAUGACGAGGCACUACGGUGCUGAAGCAACAAAUGCCCUGCUUCCAGGAAAAGCCUCUAAGCAUCAGGUAACAUCAAAUCGUACCCCAAACCGACACAGGUGGUCAGGUAGAGAAUACCAAGGCGCUUGAGAGAACUCGGGUGAAGGAACUAGGCAAAAUGGUGCCGUAACUUCGGGAGAAGGCACGCUGACACGUAGGUGAAGUGAUUUACUCAUGGAGCUGAAGUCAGUCGAAGAUACCAGCUGGCUGCAACUGUUUAUUAAAAACACAGCACUGUGCAAACACGAAAGUGGACGUAUACGGUGUGACGCCUGCCCGGUGCCGGAAGGUUAAUUGAUGGGGUCAGCGCAAGCGAAGCUCCUGAUCGAAGCCCCGGUAAACGGCGGCCGUAACUAUAACGGUCCUAAGGUAGCGAAAUUCCUUGUCGGGUAAGUUCCGACCUGCACGAAUGGCGUAAUGAUGGCCAGGCUGUCUCCACCCGAGACUCAGUGAAAUUGAACUCGCUGUGAAGAUGCAGUGUACCCGCGGCAAGACGGAAAGACCCCGUGAACCUUUACUAUAGCUUGACACUGAACAUUGAGCCUUGAUGUGUAGGAUAGGUGGGAGGCUUUGAAGUGUGGACGCCAGUCUGCAUGGAGCCGACCUUGAAAUACCACCCUUUAAUGUUUGAUGUUCUAACGUGGACCCGUUACCCGGGUUGCGGACAGUGUCUGGUGGGUAGUUUGACUGGGGCGGUCUCCUCCUAAAGAGUAACGGAGGAGCACGAAGGUUGGCUAAUCCUGGUCGGACAUCAGGAGGUUAGUGCAAUGGCAUAAGCCAGCUUGACUGCGAGCGUGACGGCGCGAGCAGGUGCGAAAGCAGGUCAUAGUGAUCCGGUGGUUCUGAAUGGAAGGGCCAUCGCUCAACGGAUAAAAGGUACUCCGGGGAUAACAGGCUGAUACCGCCCAAGAGUUCAUAUCGACGGCGGUGUUUGGCACCUCGAUGUCGGCUCAUCACAUCCUGGGGCUGAAGUAGGUCCCAAGGGUAUGGCUGUUCGCCAUUUAAAGUGGUACGCGAGCUGGGUUUAGAACGUCGUGAGACAGUUCGGUCCCUAUCUGCCGUGGGCGCUGGAGAACUGAGGGGGGCUGCUCCUAGUACGAGAGGACCGGAGUGGACGCAUCACUGGUGUUCGGGUUGUCAUGCCAAUGGCACUGCCCGGUAGCUAAAUGCGGAAGAGAUAAGUGCUGAAAGCAUCUAAGCACGAAACUUGCCCCGA
This 2615-nucleotide ribosomal RNA is filed under the name Salmonella enterica. Its description in RNAcentral is "partial 23S ribosomal RNA". It matches the Rfam family "Bacterial large subunit ribosomal RNA". Lineage: Bacteria; Pseudomonadati; Pseudomonadota; Gammaproteobacteria; Enterobacterales; Enterobacteriaceae. RNAcentral also lists the same sequence under 1 other name. The record is from RNAcentral.